Molecule: ribosomal RNA, 482 nt
Filed under: uncultured bacterium
Lineage: Bacteria
Description: partial 16S ribosomal RNA
Rfam family: Bacterial small subunit ribosomal RNA
Source: RNAcentral
UUGAACGCUGGCGGCAUGCUUUACACAUGCAAGUCGAACGGCAGCGCGGGCUUCGGCCUGGCGGCGAGUGGCGAAUGGGUGAGUAAUGCAUCGGAACGUGCCCAGUAGUGGGGGAUAGCCCGGCGAAAGCCGGAUUAAUACCGCAUACGACCUGAGGGUGAAAGCGGGGGACCGAAAGGCCUCGCGCUAUUGGAGCGGCCGAUGUCGGAUUAGCUAGUUGGUGGGGUAAAGGCUUACCAAGGCGACGAUCCGUAGCUGGUCUGAGAGGACGACCAGCCACACUGGGACUGAGACACGGCCCAGACUCCUACGGGAGGCAGCAGUGGGGAAUUUUGGACAAUGGGGGCAACCCUGAUCCAGCCAUGCCGCGUGCGGGAAGAAGGCCUUCGGGUUGUAAACCGCUUUUGUUCGGGAAGAAAUCCUCUGGGCUAAUACCCCGGGGGGAUGACGGUACCGGAAGAAUAAGCACCGGCUAACUACGU